GAUGAACGCUGGCGGCGUGCUUAACACAUGCAAGUCGAACGGUGAAGCUCCAGCUUGCUGGAGUGGAUCAGCGGCGAACGGGUGAGUAACACGUGAGCAACCUGCCCCUGACUCUGGGAUAACAGCCGGAAACGGCUGCUAAUACCGGAUAUGCACCAUGAACGCAUGUUCUGUGGUGGGAAAGAUUUUUCGGUUGGGGAUGGGCUCGCGGCCUAUCAGCUUGUUGGUGAGGUAAUGGCUCACCAAGGCGUCGACGGGUAGCCGGCCUGAGAGGGUGACCGGCCACACUGGGACUGAGACACGGCCCAGACUCCUACGGGAGGCAGCAGUGGGGAAUAUUGCACAAUGGGCGAAAGCCUGAUGCAGCAACGCCGCGUGAGGGAUGACGGCCUUCGGGUUGUAAACCUCUUUUAGCAGGGAAGAAGCGAGAGUGACGGUACCUGCAGAAAAAGCGCCGGCUAACUACGUG
Molecule: ribosomal RNA, 469 nt
Filed under: uncultured bacterium
Lineage: Bacteria
Description: partial 16S ribosomal RNA
Rfam family: Bacterial small subunit ribosomal RNA
Source: RNAcentral